Molecule: non-coding RNA, 1014 nt
Organism: Xyrichtys novacula (pearly razorfish)
Lineage: Eukaryota; Metazoa; Chordata; Actinopteri; Labriformes; Labridae
Source: the annotation of a GenBank genome assembly
GUGCUUUCAAAGACUUUUUCUCAACCCAGAAACAUGGUUCAGAAGGUGCUUUCAAAGACUUGUUCUUAACCCAGAAACAUCGUUCACAAGGUGCUUUCCAAGGUAUGAUUUCAAAACAAAAAAAGUAUUCUAAAAAGGUGCUUUUCAAAAACUUGAUCUCAAACCAAAAAAAAGGCUUGAAAGGUGUUUUCAAAAUCUUUCUCAAACCAAAUACAAGGUCCAAAAGGUGCUUUAAAAAUCUUGAUCUCAAACCAAAAAAGGCUUGAAAGGUGCUUUCAAAAUCUUUCUCAAACCAAAUACAAGGUCCAAAAGGUGCUUUCAAAGACUUGUUCUAAAAAAAAAAAGGGUUAAAAGGUGCUUUCAAAGACUUGUUCUCAAAAAAUGGGUUAAAAGGUGCUUUCAAAGACUUGUUCUCAAACCCAGAAACAUGAUUCAGAAGGUGCAAGGAAUGAUUUCAACAAAAAAAAAGGUUCUUAAAAAAAGGUGCUUUUCAAAAACUUGAUCUCAAACCAAAAACCAAAAUAGGUUCAAAAGGUGCUUUCAAAAUCUUUAUCUCAAACCAAAUACAAGGUCCAAAAGGUGCUUUAAAAAACUUGAUCUCAAACCAAAAACAAGGUUCUAACAAGGUGCUUUAAAAGACUUGUUCUCAAACCCAGAUACAUGGUUCCAAAGGUGCUUUCAAAGACUUGUUCUCAAACAAAAAAGGUUCAAAAGGUGCUUUCAAAGACUUUUUCUCAAAAAAAGGGUUUAAAAGGUGCUUUCAAAGACUUGUUCUCAAACAAAAAAGGUUCAAAAGGUGCUUUCAAAGACUUGUUCUAAAAAAAAAAAAAAGGGUUUAAAAGUUGCUUUCAAAGACUUGUUCUCAAACCCAGAAACAUGGUUCAGAAGGUGCUUUUCAAGGUAUGAUUUCAAACAAAAAAAAAGGUUCUUAAAAAAAGGUGCUUUUCAAAAACUUGAUCUCAAACCAAAAACCAAAAUAGGUUCAAAAGGUGCUUUCAAAUCCUGAUCUCAAAC